GAGGAAGAGGAAGAGGGAAACAAAUCGAAUAGUGAGAACUAGCUCAUGAAUCAAGCGGCGAAGGCAUGGUGGUCCAUCAGGUCGGGGCUGAGGCGGACCAUGAGGACGCAGAACUCCCACUGGCUGAGCGCGCCAUCGCCGUCGGAGUCGCCCUCGCGCAGCAUGGCGCGGAGGUCGUCGUCCCCCAGGGCGCCCAGGCCCAGCAGCGCGGCGUUGCGCUUGAGGCUGUCGAAGGUGAUGAGCCCCCGGCGAGGGUCCAUGAGUAGGCGAAAGCCGUUGGAGAGCUCCUCCAUGAGGCCUUCCUCGCCCAGCUUCUCCACCAUGAGGGGGAGGAAGUCCUCGAACUCCACUGGUUGCCGCCGCGCCGCCAUGGGAGAUGGAUUCAAUCGAUCGAUCGAAAGCACACCGAAGGGCAGAGAAGAAGAGGAAGACGAGGUGGGGGUC
RNAcentral lists this long non-coding RNA (444 nucleotides) under Musa acuminata (dwarf banana). Its description in RNAcentral is "long non-coding RNA (MACU_LNC001499)". The record is from RNAcentral. Lineage: Eukaryota; Viridiplantae; Streptophyta; Magnoliopsida; Zingiberales; Musaceae.